RNAcentral lists this ribosomal RNA (305 nucleotides) under uncultured bacterium. RNAcentral's name for it is "bacterial SSU rRNA". It matches the Rfam family "Bacterial small subunit ribosomal RNA", at positions 333 to 657 of the family's 1533-position model. The record is from RNAcentral.
GGACCUACGGGAGGCAGCAGUGGGGAAUAUUGCACAAUGGGGGAAACCCUGAUGCAGCAACGCCGCGUGAGUGAAGAAGUAUUUCGGUAUGUAAAGCUCUAUCAGCAGGGAAGAGAAUGACGGUACCUGACUAAGAAGCCCCGGCUAACUACGUGCCAGCAGCCGCGGUAAUACGUAGGGGGCAAGCGUUAUCCGGAUUUACUGGGUGUAAAGGGAGCGUAGGCGGCAGGGCAAGCCUGAUGUGAAAGCCCGGGGCUCAACCCCGGGACUGCAUUGGGAACUGCCCCGCUCGAGUGCCGGAGGGG